This 468-nucleotide ribosomal RNA is filed under the name uncultured bacterium. Its description in RNAcentral is "partial 16S ribosomal RNA". It matches the Rfam family "Bacterial small subunit ribosomal RNA", at positions 28 to 507 of the family's 1533-position model. The record is from RNAcentral.
GACGAACGCUGGCGGCGUGCUUAACACAUGCAAGUCGAACGGAAAGGCCCUGCUUUUGUGGGGUGCUCGAGUGGCGAACGGGUGAGUAACACGUGAGUAACCUGCCCUUGACUUUGGGAUAACUUCAGGAAACUGGGGCUAAUACCGGAUAGGAGCUCCUGCUGCAUGGUGGGGGUUGGAAAUUUUCGGCGGUUGGGGAUGGACUCGCGGCUUAUCAGCUUGUUGGUUGGGUAGUGGCUUACCAAGGCUUUGACGGGUAGCCGGCCUGAGAGGGUGACCGGCCACAUUGGGACUGAGAUACGGCCCAGACUCCUACGGGAGGCAGCAGUGGGGAAUAUUGCACAAUGGGCGGAAGCCUGAUGCAGCAACGCCGCGUGCGGGAUGACGGCCUUCGGGUUGUAAACAGCUUUCGCCUGUGACGAAGCGUGAGUGACGGUAAUGGGUAAAGAAGCACCGGCUAACUACGUG